GGUGGGUAGUCUGCAGAUGUGGGGCUGUCCCGAGGUUAAGAAGAACAUCUUUCCUUGCCCUAUUUCUGAUUAUAAUUUAAUUGUAAUCUAAUUAUAAAUAGCAUGCAUUGUGAUUCGGAUGUGAAAAGUAGACUAUUCGGGUAACUAAUUAACCGAAUUAGACUUGAAAAAAACAUAUUAGUUUUAGUUAGAAUUUGAUAUACUAUUUUAACUUCAUUUUUCGGUUAUUAACCAAAUAUAAUUCACUUAUUCGAGUUUCGAUUAUUAAGUUAGUAAUAUUUCGAUUAAUAUAUUUGUUCGGAUAUUAAAAUUGUAUAAAAUUUGUUAUUCAAUUAUAUCAGUAGACAAUUCAGUACGAUUGGAUUAUAAUCUGUGGGCACUAAAAUCGUACCUUGCUAGGGUUAGGGUUUCGUAUUGGCUGAUGAGGAGAGAAAUCCACAAAGAGUACGGAAUUGAUUGGUUGAUUGAAGAGGGGAGAACGACAGGUGGGCGGUUACUCCAACGACGCGUGACAGAACUCCUAGAAUCCGGGAACCGUGUUAGGGUAAUAAUGAUUCCAAAAGCCUUCUUAAGUCCUUCGAGUUGAGAGAAUGUCCAAACCCCUUUAGUGCUUUUAGGUGGAAUCUCCAAGCCUUUAAGUCACCAAAAAGGUCCCUUUGAUCCUCCAAGUGUCCAAGUCUUGAGUCUGAAGAGGAGUCCCUUUCCAAAUGGAAUGGAAGGGGUAUUUAUAGGGUUUUCUGGAAAGUAGUCAUGUGCAAGGCACAUGCCUUCAGGAAAAUUCCAGAAAUACCCUUUAGUCCUUAGAGUAAUGCCCAUAUUGCCCUGUCCUUCUAGCCACCAAUCCGAUCCCUCAAUCAAUUCCCAAAACGAGCCGCCUCCACGAGUCUUCUGCCUCGGGACACGUGGAGGCUUUUCGCAGGUCUCGCCCAUUUACUUCUGACUUUUUCGUCUUUAUUUCAUUAGGUUAUGCAAACCCUAAUUUGCACCUUUAAUGAAGCCGUGGAAACCUAAUUGCGCAUUCAAUUCAAUUAGGUCAUGUGAACCCUAAUUUUACACUUGGGCCCACAUUUGCCCCCUGCACGAGAGUCGCAUUAACGAUCGUGCAAGAAAACUGCAAGUCUUUGAACGAUUUUGCGGGACUUCACUCUACAGGUCUUGAAGACAAUGGUCCUAGAAGAGGGAACUCCUAGAGAGCCAGACCCUUAGAGUUAAACCCUAGGAAGGCAAGACCUAGUGAGGCUCUUCUUUGGACAUCCUUAAAAAAAUCUUCUGAAAUUUUUUCUGAACCUUGCCCAAUAUUUAUUUCCUUUGUAGACCUAAUAUACUUCAAGGAUGAGUUUAGCUGAAGCUCCAGAUGCUCAAGGUUUUUUAUAUUUAGCGGCCCCAGGUCUUCCCCGAGAAAGUGCCUUUGAUAUUGUUGUAGAGACUCAUAUUUGCCUUUUAGUUUUAAGUAUUCCCUGUAUGUGCUUUGCUGCUAGGGACAUGACAACAAGUAAUUCAAGUAAAAAAAAUCAUGAAAACAAAAUGAACAUAAUCCCAGGAAUAAAAUAUUCCUAAUAAAAAAUUAGGAUAUUUGUUUUAAUAAUAAUUUAUUUUGGGAAAUAAAAAAUUAAGAUUUGAUUUUAUUUUAGAAAUAAAAUCUUUCUUUAUUUUGAAAAAAUCAAAUCUUUCAAAUCUUUAUUUUCUUGAAAAGUAAAUAAAAUAUUCCUAUUAUUAAAAAAUAGGAUAUUUGUUUUAAUAAUAAUAAUUUAUUUUGGAAAUAAAAAUUAAGAUUUGAUUUUAUUUUGGAAAUAAAAUAAAAUAAAAUCAAAUCAAAUCUUGAUUUUUAUUUCCAGAAUAAAAUCAAAUCUUAAUUUUAUAAGAUUUGAUUUUAUUUUGAAAAUUAAAUUUUCCUUCAUUUUGGAAAAUCAAAUCAAAUCUUUCUUAAUUUGAAAAGUUUUUAUUUUUUUCGUCAUUCACGCAAAAGAUUCACGCAAAAGAUUUAAGUGCAUGAAUAAAAUAAAAAUGCUUGAAUUUAAGGGUCAUAUAAUCUCACAGAUCUGAUGAAGGGGAAUUGCCACAUGCCUACAACAUUUUCUAUGAAAAAGAUGGUGAAUUAAGGCAAAACGAGAUCCCAUAAUGUAUUUGUCACCUUUUUUUUUUGAAAAUAAAAUAAAUCUUAUUUUAUUAUCUUUUAAAAAAAUAAAUAAAAUAAAAUUCUUAUUUUAUUAUUAUUAUUAUAUUUUUUUUUCUUUUUUUUUAAAAAAAAUAAAAAUAAAUAAAUAAAACAUUUACUUAUCUUAUUUUUUGAGAGGUAAGGAAUCGAUACUCAUAAUCCACAGCCGCCUGUCUUGCUUCUGAAUUGUAGUAGAGAGCUUUGUUACCACCUCACUUGGGCAAUACUUUUUAUUUGCAGUAAUAAAGAACCCAUCAUUUGAAACGCUGUGCUUGAUUAACCGUUGCGCAACAAUAUUACAUCAGUCCCACUUCGGUAAGCAUGCUUUUAAUAUUUCCUUGCAUCAACGAAGGCUGUAAUAAGCAUGCUUUAUUUCCUUGCAAUACAAUUGACACCCUCCUUGCCAAUUCACCUGCUUUACUAAGUCUAUUACAGAAUAAGGUAAUCAUUUGACAGCAUGUCAUGGCUCUACCUUUUGUGAUGUUCAUUUGCAGGGCCCUAUAGGUAGGGAGGUGCCGAACCCUAUGAAUGCAAUAUAUAUAUAUAUAUAUAUAUUUUAUUUAUUUAUUUAUUUUUAUUAUUAUUAAUUUUUUUUUACAUGAUUACCACUUCACUUUUUUUUCUUUCAUAACCCAAUACAUGAACACUUAAUUGGCCAAGUGCAGCGAUUACCUAAUUACACUUGAUUCCCAACACAUUACUUCAUUAGCCAACACAUGAUUACUAUGACCCAUUACGUCACUCUCUCAUUAGCCAACCAAAUUUCCACCCUUUUGCAUCCAAAAUGCUAGAUGGCCUCACUUUAUUUGAGUGCAUCAGGCAUUGAUUGUGACUCUCAAUUCACACUGUGACUGUGACUUUCAAUUCGCACUGUUCACCUGAAGGCAUCACUGUCAUCAUUUUUUUUUUCAACAAAAAGUUCUGCUUCUUGUCUCCAAAAUACUGGCCACGUGCUACUGCUGCUUUAUCUAGGUCGAACCCUUCUUAGUCAUUUUCAAUUUUUUUUUUGACGAACCAUGAAGAAAGAAAAAAAAAAGAAAUGCUUUUUUUUCUUUUGUUUUCCGAGCCCCAUUACCUUGAUUAUACCUCGGUUUUUUCCCUCGGAUAAUAAAGAAAGAUUGGCAUUUUUUUUUCAGCGAAAACCCAAAGAAAGAAAAAAUUCUCUGCAUGCGGCAAAAUUGCUCCAAUUAGCCGAACCCUGGAGGACCGAACACUAGGGGGCCGAACCCUAGGGGGUCGAGCCCUGGGGAAAAUCAAUGUUUAGACUGCAUAACACGAAAUUUUUAGAGGAGUAAUUACUAUUUUGAUCAUCACUUUCGCCUCGCUUGUAGUUUCGAUACCCAUAAUAUAUCAAAACAAAGCUGACGACGAGCCUUACAACAGUCAUCACCUUCAACCAUGAUAGUUAUUGUUAUAAGUCUGAUAAAAAGGAAAACUCUGAAGGCUGCCAUUUGGGCUAUCUUAAUGCAUAUUUGUGAUUCCAAACUUCUUUUGACAUUUUUUUUUCUUUCAGGUGUCUUUGAGGUUAAAUAUCAGACCUCCCUCUUUGCCAUGGUGAGCGCUUCUUUCCCCUUUGACAUCCUUACAUUGUGUCUUUUUUUUUUAGAAUUCUUAUGAUGAACUUUUCUUGCUUGUAGCCCCUUUCACCUGAAUGCUCUGUAGAACCAAAAACCACCCGGGAGUCCCCCUUCAUCACUGAUUGGGGAAGAGCUCCCUUCUUCGGUCCUUCUGACACCUUCUGGGAUAGAGUUAAGGACUAUGACCGUACAACUUUUCGUUCACCAGAGAAAGAAGGCCUAUUUUUGUAUGCCCCAGCUUCUGGAGGUUGGGAUGACUUCCCUCGUGCUAAUUGCAUUCCCCGCCUAUGCAUAGAGAAGAAAGAAUACCCUUUCAGUCCUCUUCACUUCCUAUCUGAUUCAUCUAGUCGCCUUCAAGGAUGGCAGGAUUGGACCGACGAAAUCCUUGGAAAUGCUGAAUACGUGGAAAUACUAAAAAACGCAAGCAUCUUUCGUUGUGUUCAACUGUGUAGAGACCUACGCAUCCACCAUGACCAUAACGCUCUUACCGUGUUGAUCUCACGAUGGUGUUCCUCUACUUGCACAUUCGUCACUGCCUGGGGGGAAUUCACCCCUACUCUAGAGGAUGUCUAUGCCCUCUAUCAGUAAGUUCUCUUCUUUUAUUCCUUUCAUUCAUUCUCAUUUUUUCUGAAACAUAUAUAUUUAUUUUGAAUCUCAUCUUGUAGCCUUCCCGUUGUUGCUUCGAACUCCUGCGGCCCUUCUAACAUGUCCACUAAAGAUAACGAAUGUGUUGCCUACUUGAUGGAAGCCUUCAAGCAAUCUUCCCGCUUCAUCUCCCGCUUCAAGGGCGAUACACUCCUUCCAGACUUCGAGACUUCCAGUCGGCAGAAAAAUUCUUGGUUAUCCUGGGUACGCUACUUCUUCCGUGACUACAAGACCAACCAAUGGGACAGCUCUAUUCAUGACAAAUCUGUCCUUGCCUUUCGUGGAGAGACUUGUCCUUUUCCUCUGGCAGCUUAUCUGGCUAUGUGGCUGUCCCGCUUCAUCUUCCCUGGAUCUCCCAUAGACGGUCCUUCUGCCCGUGUAUUCAGCUUGGCAGCGUUAUUAUCCCGAGGCUCAGAGAUUCCCCUUGCUUCUCUCUUCUUAGGGUCCUUAUAUCGUCGCCUAGACGAAACAAUCCUUGCUAUGAAAGAAUCUGUUGGGAGGUAAUCACUUUCCUAUAUAUAUAUAUAUUAUUUGUCUUUCCAACCGCACUUAUUUUCCUUUAACCUUUUUCUUAUUUUUUUUUUUUUUUAUUCCUUCAGGUAUGAUGUCAAUUGCUUCAUUCCAUGCUCCUUUCUUCAGAUUUUUCUUUUUGAACGCUUUUCGGGCUAUUCCUCUAAGCAGAAGAAGAAGUCUCCUCUUUUUUCAUCACCCAACGUCAUUCCUCGCAUGGCACGUUGGAUUGAUCACCGACUUAGACUCGAUAGUGCGGAUUUGCGGCCUUUUCUUGAUGAUUAUACUUUGUUCACUGCCCGUCCCUAUACCAUUGUUUCAGAGGGUUGCGGCCAUCUACCUCACUUUUACAAGCGCCAAUUUUGUACUUACUCAAGCCUCAACAGAACCAGCUUGAGUGGUUCUGCACUAUCUUGGUUCGUUUUCCUUCGGUCUACAGAGCUUCCUUACUUCCUCGAGAAUAAUAGUUUUGGCACUGUACUGUAUUCUCCUCACCGGGUCAUGAGACAAUUCGGAUAUGACCAGGAACGCCCUUUUGGUCACACCUGCCGAGGAAAUUAUGAGGCUGCUCUUGUCAAUUUCGUCUGUACCUCCCCUUCUUUUACAUGGGCAUUUCCGAGGCUACAAAGUGAUCCUCAUAGAUCCCUUCCUUUUGUAAUACCAGAUAAUUUUUGGAGCGGGCGAUAUACUAUUGGCGAACGUAAUUACUGGCAAAUCAAUCUUAAAAGAUGGGAGGAUGAUACCUUAAUUUGUUCAUUGCCAGUUUCUAUUCCAAAGUGUCUCCAAUGGUGCCGACUGCUAUGUUCUCCUAAGACCCAUAUCCGUCCAACACUUUGGCCAGCCAGUAGCCGAUUGGUUAAGCGCGAGGUCUUGAUGCCUAAGUCUUCUCUUCCUCAUUUAGCAGACAUUCCUCCUCGAGGUGAUCUGAAUACUUUUCCUGUACAAGCUCCCACUACUUCCACGAGUCUUCCACCACGGGCUCCGUUUCAGGUGUCUCCUCCAGCUCCUCCCCAGGGAUCCUUUGAUGCCGAGGCAAUGAGAGUUACUCGUUCUAAGACGAGAGCGGCUAUUAUUACUGAUUCUGAAGUAGCUCCUUCUAUUGCUUCUGCUGUGGUUCCAGUCAGCCAUCUUCCUCCUAUUAGGCUUAUCAUAAAGCCAUUGGCAAAACGCCCUCUUGAUAGUGCUGAUUCUAAUAUGCCGGCAGCUGAGGAUCUAACCAAGAAACGCCGUAGAAAUUUGGUAAUAAUUAUAUUUUUUUUGUACUAUUCUCAUUUUUCUUUCCUCCCUUGUAUUACUACUUUCACAUAUCGUUAAGUAAUUGUUUCCCUUUUUUUUUAGGUUACCGUGGACGAUGAAGAUGAUGAUGAUGAUGACGUUCCUCUUGGGCUUAUGUGUAGUACUGCCAAUGAGGCGGUCGCGGUGGUUUCCACUAGUCAUGAGCCUUCCCAACCUAUACUUGUUGAUAUUGAGUCAUCUACUCCUCGUGAUGAUUGUGUUAGCCUGGAUGCUAAGGAUACCUUAUCCGAUGUGAGCUCGAGUCCUGCUUUGGGUGAUACAGCUAUUUCUUCACACCCUCCUGUGACUGCUCCUCAUGAUGAGUGUGAAGAUGUUGAUGAGGCUCUUACUUCCCCGAGGGGGAAUCCUUCUGAAAUUAUUGGUGAUGCUCAUCCUCCCCAGAAGGAUUCUACCGAGUUUGUGAUUGCUCGGGAGGGCAGUGUUGAUAACAUUCUGGGUGGGUUGAAUAACAUUCCCCUUUCUGUGGCAUCUCCCGACUCCUUUUCCAUUGACUAUAUUGUGAGUAUCCUUCUUUAAUCAACAUGUGAUUUGUCUUGAAUUUCCUUUCUUUCUUUGUUUUUAAUAUAUUGUGUUUUGACAUUUUGUUUUUUCAGAGCGAGAAGAUGAAAGACUUGCCUUUGCCUGUUGAGGCACUCGCUUUAUUUGAUGCUCUCCAUCCAGAUGUUUCCCACUCGCCAUAUAGUGACCUUGGUUAUCCUCCAGGUGACCAAGGUUUCGAGGAAUCCUCAGCUAUACAGCAUCUUUCUACUCCUCCACCCCUUGACUCGACAAAUUAAAUGGUGGCUUCUAAAGUAGCUGCUACCAGAGCUUCCUUUAAUCCAAAUGGGGGUCUUAUUUCUUGGAGGGGUUUCCAGAUAUCAUCUUCUAGUCAGGAAAGUCUGGAGCGUCUCCUAGCUCGGUUCCCGCAGAUACUUGACCGGUUAAUUAUUAAGGAGACUUCCACCCAAACCUUCUUCCUAGAUCAGCUCGCAGGCCUUAUUUGUAGAUUGCACACUCUUUCUUUAUAUUCUUUGCGAGUCGAGGACUUGAAGAAGUUUAAUGAUAAAGUAGACGACCUUACAGCCAUAGGUGUUGACCUGUCUCCGUUUCGUGAUAGAUUGACUCUUCUCAAGUUAAGUUUUGAUCUUAUUUCAUUACGUUCGGAGGUUGUUUUACGUAAGUGUGAAGAUGAAUCCUUUUCAGUGCAGCUUUCUGAACUUGAUGAAGCCGCCAACAAAUUGAAGAUUCAGUCUCAAGAUUUAGAGGGCCGACUUCGGGAGGUAGAGCGCCAACAACGGGACUUAGAGUCAACUACCCAACAAGUUAGGGAAUUGAAAGCUGCAAAUCUUAAGAUUUGAGAUGCUCCCGUUGCUGACUUAGAAGCUUUAGUUGUGCCUCCACUUCAUUUUGAUAUGUCUUGGCCUUUAGAUCAUAACUUGUUGUAGUUUUUUUUUCGAUUUCCUGUUUCAGAAACUCAUUUACACAUGUUUCAUUUAUCAAAAUGUAGUUUCUUCAACCUUGUUGAUUGCUUUUAAUUUGAAUGAUUCCUUAAAAUUCAAUAUUUAUCAUUGAAUCUCAAGUUAUUCAAAUUAAUAUUACAAGACAACCACAAGUAAAUAUGAAUUUUAUCAAAAACAUGUAUAUAUAGUUUUCACAAACCAAAACUUGACUUUAUACUUUUUUUUUUUAAGAAAUUUAAAAAUAACAUUCAAGUAUAAGUGAAAGUUUGUAAAUUUAUUGAUAAUAAAAUUGCUUUUAACGAAAAGCAUAACGUUUCAUUAGUAAAUCUUGCUUUUGUCGAAGAAAGCAUAACGAUUGCCACUUUUAGAGGUAAAGUGUAACUUUCUUGCUUUUGUCGAAUAAAGCAUAACGUUUGCCACUUUUAAAGAUAAAGUGUAACUUUCGGGGUUGAGGGCUUAUACUCAGGUGCCUCAGUCACUUUUGAAGUUGAAAGUGUAACUGUCGAGGGCUGUUAAUCAGGUUCCUCGAUCACUUUUGAAGUUUGAAAGUGUAACUUCCAAGGGCUGUACUUAGUCAGGUGCCUCGAUUACUUUUGAAGUUGAAAGUAUAACUUUUUGUGAUGCUCUUCUCAUGUGUAAUAUUUCUUUACCCACUUCAAGUUCAAUGGGCCUGAGACAGCAUCUGAUCCCACACGAGAUAUCUUGCAAUACCCGCUUUCGGAGAUCUCUCGUACCCUAUACGGGCCUUCCCAUUUGGGGUAAAAUUUGGUGGUUGGGGUCCCCCUCAUGACUUGAGUUGCCGUUUUGAGUACCAGGUCCCCCACCAGAAUUCGUCGUGGUACUACUGCGGUAUUGUAUUGUCGUCGCAGUCUUUCAUGGUACCGUUCAAGCUUUUCUUUAGCCUUAUCUCGAAAGUCAACUAAGGCCUCCAGGGCUGCUGGUCGGUUUUCUUCCUCGACCAAGCUUCGAAGUCUCAUUCGAGCCGAAGGUAUUUCUAUUUCAGCGGGCAAAACAGCUUCUUCACCAUAAACCAAAGCAUAUGGGGUCUCGCCUGUAGGCUUCCUUUUUGAAGUUCGAUAUGCCCAUAACGCUAUUGGUAAUUGUUCUGCCCAUGUCUUCGGAUGAUCGUCUAGGGUUUUUGAUAAAAUUUUUAUCAAGGUUUUGUUUGUAGCCUCUGCUUGUCCGUUGCCUUUCGGGUAGUAGGGUGAUGAUUUGUAAUGUUUCACCCUGUAUCUUUCCAUCAGAUUUUUGACGUCCCUAUUGAUGAAGGGAGUUCCAUUAUCCGACAAAAUUAUCUUCGGGAUCCCGAAACGGCAAAUGAUGUGCUCCUUGAUAAAAUUGGCCACUGCUGGUCCCGUGGCCUUCUUCAAGGGUAUUGCCUCCACCCACUUUGUGUACAUCUCGGUGGCAGUUAAAAUCCAUAUGUUACCCUUGGAAUUAGGAUGAACAGGACCUAUAAGAUCCAUUCCCCAUGUAUGAAAGGGCCAUGGUGUUGCCAAGGUUCGCAAAUCCACGGCGGGAGCAUGGAUCAAGUUUCCAUGUAUUUGACAAAUGUGGCACUUUUUAACAAAUUCUAGACAAUCUCCCUCCAUCUUUGGCCAGUAGUAACCAUGAUCGAUAAGUUGUUUGUACAACUUGGCUCCCCCUUGGUGUUCAUUCUUGUGCAUUUGGUAAACCAAAUCUUUGGCUUCACCUAGUUCCAGACACCGUAGGGGCUUGCCAUUGAAUCCCCUUCUAAACAAUUCUCCAUUCUGCAAGAAGAAACGUUGUGACUUCCUCUUGAUUAUAAUUGCGUCCUUCUUUUCGGUCGGAAGAGUCCCGCUUUGCAAGAACUCCACAUAAGGGAUUCGCCAAUCCACUAUAUCUUCAAUGAAGGCGCAUUCAUCCUCCCCAGGGUAUUCUUGGCAUGAAACACAUUGGCGUUGUAGGGCAUCUGCUUCCUUCUUCAUUUCAGGCCAAUAAUACCCUUGACGCUGCAGCCUACGAUACAAGCCUAUGUCUGCCAAUCCGCAGUUCUCGUCAUGCACCUGUUGCAAGACUCUAUCUGCUUCCUGCCUCCCUAAGCAUCGUGUCAACACACCGUCUGCUUCUUUGUGAUACAAGACACCUUUGAUGAUGUUGUACUUCUGUAACUUCACGGUAGGUAUUGUUCCCUCCUUUGUUUGCAAUUGAUGGGAGAUGUCGUAUCGCCAAUCAUCUAUCAUGUCUUUGGGGAACAAAUUUAGCACUGUGGUUGGGAGGGUUCUCUUCAUUACCUUUACAUCCAAAUCCUCACCUUGGACAUAGACUCGAGACGCUACUGUUGCUAGUGCAUCAGGUUGUUUAUUCUGUCCUCUUGGCACAUAUUCAAUCACCACCUUCUUGAAAGCCUCCAUCACCUUUUGUGCUACAGUUCGAUAUGGCGCCAAGAUAGGUUCCUUCACUCCGAAUUGGCCUCUUAUUUGUUGCACUAUGAGGUUUGAAUCUCCCUUUACUUUAAGAUGUUUGGCUCCUAAUUCUUGAGCCGCCAACAACCCUAGUAUGAACGCCUCAUAUUCUGCUUCAUUGUUUGUGCAAGGGAAAUCCAAUUUGUAUGACAAGGCCACUUCAUUUCCUUCUUUAGUGGUCAACACCACUCCUGCUCCACCUUUACCUUCUGCAGAUGAUCCAUCAAAAGCCAAACUCCACCAUUCUGGGUUCUCAUUCAUCAACUCGAUUGAUUCUACUUCUUCACCCGGAAGAUCUUCAGAAGGGGGUUCAUAUUCUCCAUUUGGAAAUUGAGCCAGCAGGUCUGCCAAGGCUUGACAUCGGAUCGCCUUCGGUGUUACACACUUGAUGUCGUACUCUGAAAGAAUCAUCAUCCAUCUGGCAGGUCUUCCUACUAAUGCUGGCUUAGUUAAUAGGUAUUUGAUUGGAUCAGUUUUUGUUGCAAGCUUUACUUCGUGUGCUAAAAAAUAAUGCCGCAUUUUUUGCGCAAUGAAUACCAAUGCUAGGCAAUGCCUCUCCACCUGUGAAUACCUGGUUUCCGGUCCUCGGAUUAUCCGGCUAAUGUAAUAUACAGGUUUCUCUUCUCCAUCCACCUCCUGCGUGAUCAAUCCACCUAUGGACUUCUUGGUAGAUGUGAUGUACAACUGCAACGGCAUUCCUCUUUGUGGCACUACCAUUGUUUGUGCUGAAGCCAAAAUUCUUUUCACCUUCUCAAACGCCUGUUGUUGGUCUUGCCCCCAGUCCCAUUGUGCCUUUCCUUUUAGCAAUUUGCCAAAAGGUUCUGUGACUUCGGCUAAUGCUGGCAUGAAUCUUCUCAUGUAUGAAACUUUCCCUAGAAAGCUCUUUAACUGUUUCUGCGUUUUUGGUGGGGGCAUCUCUGUGAUUGCUUUGGCCUUGCUUGGGUCCACCUCUAAGCCUCUAUUGUGCACCAAGAAGCCCAAGAAUUUUCCAGCCGUCAUCCCAAAGGCGCACUUCUUCGGAUUCAUCCUCAACUUAUACCUUCGGCACCGCUCGAACACUUUCCUCAGGUCCUCCACAUGAGUUAUCGCCUUCUUGGAUUUCACUACUAUGUCGUCUACAUAGUCCUCCACUAUAUCAUGAAUCAUGUCAUGAAAUAUGGCGUGCAUUGCCCUUUGAUAAGUUGCCCCCGCAUUCUUCAACCCGAAUGGCAUUACUACAUAGUAGAAAUUCCCAAACGGGGUACGAAAGGCUGUCAACUCUGCAUCUUCUACGGACAUCUUUAUCUGAUUGUAACCCACAAACCCGUCCAUGAAUGACAUCAUCUCAUGAUUAGCCGUUGCAUCUACCAAAGUGUCUAUGUUGGGUAAUGGGUACAUGUCCUUUGGGCAUGCCUUGUUCAAAUCUCUGAAAUCCACACAUAUUCGUAGCUGUCCAUUUGACUUCUUUACCGGUACAAUGCUGGAUAGCCAUAUUGGAUGUUGAAUUGGCUUGAUGAACCCUACUUCCAGCAACUUCUUGAUCUCUUCCUUUAUUUGAGUUUCUACUUCGGGUGCAUAGUUGCGAGGUGCUUGCUUUACUGGCUUCAUUCCCGGACUUAUGUUUAGAUUGUGCUCCACAAGAUCCUUGUCAAUUCCGGGCAUUUCGUCGUAAUUCCAAGCAAAUACAUCCCUAUAUUCUCGCAAUAAUUGUACAAGCUCCUCCUUCUGUUUAACAUCCAGCUCUUUGUUGACAUAAGUCGGUCUUGGCAUUCCUUCCUCUGUUGCCAAAUUAACUUCCUCUAAUUCAUUUUGUUGAGGUUUUGGCCUAUCCUCGAAACAUUCUGGAGCUGGUUCUACCUUCUGUUGUACAACUUCUUCUUCUUCAUUAUUGCUGGAGUGGGGGACACUUCCUGAGCCAUUGGGUUCACACACUUCCAAGGGCUCUUCCCCCUUGCGUCGUCACAAUCGAAACACCACCUUUCCGUCGGGGUUUAACAACCCUCUCCCAUUUUGUCUUCUGGCCCUCGUCAGAUUGUGCCAUCCGCUUGGCAUUUAUUAUAUUUCUGGCAUCUUCGGGUUCUGCUGGCCUUUUCUUUUCUUUUCUUCCUUCUUUCUCUAAGUCUACUACCACGGGCUUCUUAUUUUUGGAACAUUCUCCUUGUUCCGAGGUCUUCUUCUUCUCUUUUUCUACAGGCACAAACUUAUCUUCCUGCACUUCCUCCCAGCUUGCUAGUCUUAGAGAAUUAGGCCUUGCAAUCUGGUUCUCUCCCUCUUCAGCGACAUCAUCAAAGAAAGUUGCUUCGGUGAUGUGUGCCUCCUCUGGUCCAAAAGGAUUCCUAGUUGCUGAUACCUUUACUUCUCUCCCUUUCCAAAUAGCUUUAAGGCACUGAUGAAAGACCGAGGGUACUACCCCGUAGUCAUUUUGCCAAGCCCUUCCUAGCAAGACAUGAUAUGAUGCAUCCACCUCGGCAACAUGGAACAUUACAGGCCCUCGAAUCUUCCCAACUUGCAUGUCCACCUUAAUGUGUCCCAGGGUUCUUGUGCUUUGGUUGGCGAAUCCCGUAAUGUUCGUUUGUUCCUUCACAAUCUUCUUCUCCGGCAGGCCUAACCGUUUGAACACGGUGUAGGGCAUGAUAUUUACAGAUGCUCCAUUAUCAAUGAAUGCCCUCCGCACCUCGAUGCCAUUGAUUACUGCUGUCACAUACAGCGGCCUGUUGUGCGGGUAUCUUAUCUCUCUAUCAGCUUUAGAGAAAGAUAUCUUAUUUUCUUCUUCCUCCAUCGUCUUCACAAAUCCUUUACUCAUGGCCAUACAAGUCUCCUGCGUCUCAGCAGCUUUGAUAAUUGCCCUGGUUGCCUCAAUCCUUGCUUCCUUGGCCAAUCCUAUCUGAUCGAAAAAAUUUCUGAACUUGGCUCCGUUCAUCAAUGCCAUCACCUGCAGGCCUGGAUCACACUCCUCCUUUUCUUCCAUCAUCAUCUCCACUUCUGGGCUUGUGCUGUGAAUAACAGUGUUGCACGUUUCCUUCCCCUUGUGGUUUGGCAAUGGCUUGUCAUGAACGCUACUUUCCUUUCCAAGUUCAAUCUCCCCAUUUGCCAGCUUCUCGUGGAAUAUCCUCCGCAGGCUAUAACAGUCCAUAGUUGAGUGUCCCGCGUAUUGGUGGAAUACACAGAAGUCUGGUCUUCUCUUUAUUUCUUCCGUCACUGCAAAUCUAGGCCUUGGGGGUUUCACCACUCCAUGUUCAACCCAUUGUUCAUACAAAUCCUUGAAUGCUUUCUCACUACAUGUGAUGGCCUCGGGGACUGGUUUUCUUGUAUAUUUGUCUUCAGGCCGUCCUCUGUUUCGGUCAAAGUUCUUCUCAUGCUUCCCCCUCUUGCCCCCUUGUGGUUUUGAUUGAGAGUCAGCCAAAGCCACAGUUGCUGUCCUCUUGCCCUUCCAUGUAACCGUCGCAUGGUUAGUGGGCAAUGUCACAAUUCCUCCCAAGUCUUGUGCAAAAGAUGAGAGGGUCGCGAAGGAAUCACAAGCCUUGGUGAUGAGGUGGGGCUUGAAAGAAUCCAAGGCACCAUUGUUGCAAAUGCUGACUAAGUUCUUUUCUUCAAUCGGUUCUGCGCACUUCUGUGCCUGGGCCCUGAACCUGUCAACAUAAUCUGACAACUCCUCAUUCGGUUUCUGCUUGAACCGCAUAAGCUCCACAAUGGUUACCUGUUUCUGCACAUAGAAAAAUUUCUUGAAAAAUUGUAAUUUUAAGUCAUCCCAAUCAUGGACUGACCCCUUCUCCAAAUUGUAGUACCAACUAAAGGCACUAUCCGUCAAAGUCUUGUUGAAUUCCCGCAUCAACAAGUUGUGGUUGUUCACUUCGUCAUAUCCGAGCCACGGAGACAUUGACUCUACAAACCUGGCAAUAUGUUCCCUAGCAUUUCCUUUCUCCCCGUUGUAUUUUGGAAAUUGCGGGGGGUGCUCAAUAUACCCUGUUGGGUAAGGUUGCCUCCGAAUGUGUGCAGGGUAAGGAGGAGUAAAGUCCAACUCCGAGGGUCGAGAUGUCUGUCUGCGAAGUUGAUUGAUCACGUCAAUCAUAUCAUCCUUCGUCACAUACGGGCUUGUAGCGUGAACUCUCUGGGGUGUUGUGAUAUACUGCUGCAUCGGCGGUGUGUAUGGUAGAGAAAUUGGUUGAUGAACACUUGCAUCAUGAACAGCUGGCACUGGUGGAAGUUGCUGGCUCAUUCGCUGGACAUUGCUUGGAAUGAUUGGCAUUUGCACCUGUGAAAAUGAUGGAAUAGUAGCUGAGAUGAUGUUUGCCUGAGGUUGGCUUGCUUCCAUCCUAGGUUGUGGCACGUCACCACUGUUCUGGGCUUCCAAGUUGAUUAUUGGAACCGAUUGACUUUCCGUUAAUGGAGGUACAAUCUGGUUCUCUUUGUUGUUGCUACCAUUAUUGUUGUCUUCCACACCUGCUUGUUCCCCAUGCGAACUUCCUGGGAACAUGGCCUUGAAAGUGGGAAUUUGCAUCAACUGCUGGCGGAAAUUCCCCAUCUCCUCUUGCUUUCUCUGCAUUUCCAGCAUCACGGCCAUCAUCAUUCCUUGCCCUUCUCGUGCUUCCUUCAAUGCCUUGAGCAUCUCCAGUUGCACAGCAUUCGUCGGGUCUCCACCUACAUCCUCGCCUUGCCUUCCUGCAUUGGUUUGUUGUUGAUUAGCCAUAUGUGGUGAUGUCGAACUUCCUUCUGAAGUGUCUUCAAUAAGUGGUUGGUCAAAAUCCAGGUUUGCGCCUUGGAAAGCUUGAGUGGCUUGCCUUGGAACUGGAUCCGGUGAGGUAAUGCUGUUUGUUGGUGAAAUAGCUUUUCCUGUAGUUCUCCUACUUCGAGUCGUGGGCAUACCCUUCACGAAUUCUACACCUCCCCAGCAGAGUCGCCAAAUAAAUGUGGGCACUAAGAUCGUACCUUGCUAGGGUUAGGGUUUCGUAUUGGCUGAGGAGGAGAGAAAUCCACAAAGAGUACGUAAUUGAUUGGUUGAUUGAAGAGGGGAGAACGACAGGUGGGCGAUUACUCCAACGACGCGUGGCAGAACUCCUAGAAUCCGGGAACCGUGUUAGGGUAAUAGUGAUUCCAAGAGCCUUCUUAAGUUCUUCGAGUUGAGAGAAUGUCCAAACCCCUUUAGUGCUUUUAGGUGGAAUCUCCAAGCCUUUAAGUCACCAAAAGGGUCCCUUUGAUCCUCUAAGUGUCCAAGUCUUGAGUCUGAAGAGGAGUCCCUUUCCAAAUGGAAUAGAAGGGGUAUUUAUAGGGUUUUCUGGAAAGUAGUCAUGUGCAAGGCACAUGCCUUCAGAAAAAUUUCAGAAAUACCCUUUAGUCCUUAGAGUAAUGCCCAUAUUGCCCUGUCCUUCUAGCCACCAAUCCGAUCCCUCAAUCAAUUUCCAAAACGAGCCGCCUCCACGAGUCUUCUGCCUCGGGACACGUGGAGGCUUUUCGCAGGUCUCGCCCAUUUACUUCUGACUUUUCCGUCUUUAUUUCAUUAGGUUAUGCAAACCCUAAUUUGCACAUUUAAUGAAGCCGUGGAAACCUAAUUGCGCAUUCAAUUCAAUUAGGUCAUGUGAACCCUAAUUUUACACUUGGGCCCACAUUUGCCCCCUGCACGAGAGUCGCAUUAACGAUCGUGCAAGAAAACUGCAAGUCUUUGAACGAUUUUGUGGGACUUCACUCUACAGGUCUUAAAGACAAUGGUCCUAGAAGAGGGAACUCCUAGAGAGCCAUACCCUUAGAGUUAAACCCUAGGAAGGCAAGACCUAGUGAGGCUCUUCUUUGGACAUCUUAAAAAAAAUCUUCUGAAAUUUUUUCUGAACCUUGCCCAAUAUUUAUUUCCUUUGUAGACCUAAUAUACUUCAAGGAUGAGUUUAGCUGAAGCUCCAGAUGCUCAAGGUUUUUUAUAUUUAGCGGCCCCAGGUCUUCCCCGAGAAGGUGCCUUUGAUAUUGUUGUAGAGACUCAUAUUUGCCUUUUAGUUUUAAGUAUUCCCUGUAUGUGCUUUGCUGCUAGGGACAUGACAACAAGUAAUUCAAGUAAAAAAAAUCAUGAAAACAAAAUGAACAUAAUCCCAGGAAUAAAAUAUUCCUAAUAAAAAAUUAGGAUAUUUGUUUUAAU
RNAcentral lists this long non-coding RNA (16145 nucleotides) under Panax ginseng (ginseng). RNAcentral's name for it is "long non-coding RNA (PGIN_LNC007395)". Lineage: Eukaryota; Viridiplantae; Streptophyta; Magnoliopsida; Apiales; Araliaceae. The record is from RNAcentral.